UGGGGAAUAUUGCACAAUGGGCGAAAGCCUGAUGCAGCGACGCCGCGUGAGUGAAGAAGUAUUUCGGUAUGUAAAGCUCUAUCAGCAGGGAAGAAAAUGACGGUACCUGACUAAGAAGCCCCGGCUAACUACGUGCCAGCAGCCGCGGUACUACGUAGGGGGCAAGCGUUAUCCGGAUUUACUGGGUGUAAAGGGAGCGUAGACGGCGAAGCAAGUCUGAAGUGAAAACCCAGGGCUCAACCCUGGGACUGCUUUGGAAACUGUUUUGCUAGAGUGUCGGAGAGGUAAGUGGAAUUCCUAGUGUAGCGGUGAAAUGCGUAGAUAUUAGGAGGAGCACCAGUGGCGAAGGCGGCUUACUGGACGAUAACUGACGUUGAGGCUCGAAAGCGUGGGGAGCAAACAGG
RNAcentral lists this ribosomal RNA (404 nucleotides) under Fusobacteriota bacterium. Its description in RNAcentral is "Fusobacteria bacterium partial 16S ribosomal RNA". It matches the Rfam family "Bacterial small subunit ribosomal RNA", at positions 355 to 776 of the family's 1533-position model. The record is from RNAcentral. Lineage: Bacteria; Fusobacteriati; Fusobacteriota.